UGCCUCAUGAAUAAAACCAUCAUAAGGUACGUCCUGCCCGGUGAACUAAGGUUUAAACGGCCGCGGUAUACCUGACCGUGCAAAGGUAGCAUAAUCACUUGCCUUUUAAUUGGAGGCUGGUAUGAAUGGAUAAACGAAAGACUAACUGUCUCUAAAAUACUACUAUAAAUUAACCUUCAGGUGAAGAGGCCUGAAUAAAAUUAAAAGACAAGAAGACCCUAUAGAGUUUUACUUUAAAAUACAAGGCCAAAUUCGCAUUUGGUCUGACAUUGAAAGUUUAGUUGGGGCGACUGAGGAAUAAUCCCACCUUCCUCCACAACAAGAAUCAAAUCAAUAAAAUGACCCUCUAAAGAUCAAAGAAACAACAUUACCUUAGGGAUAACAGGCUAAUCUCCCCAGAGAGUCCAAAUUGACGGGGAGGGUUGGCACCUCGAUGUUGGCUUAAGACACCUAUUAAAUGCAGAAGUUUAAAUCAGUUGGUUUGUUCAACCAUUAAAGUCUUACG
This 505-nucleotide ribosomal RNA is filed under the name Hesiospina sp. BC-2003. RNAcentral describes it as "partial 16S ribosomal RNA". It matches the Rfam family "Bacterial large subunit ribosomal RNA", at positions 1816 to 2600 of the family's 2925-position model. The record is from RNAcentral. Lineage: Eukaryota; Metazoa; Annelida; Polychaeta; Phyllodocida; Hesionidae.